GCAGUCGCCGCGGUAAUACGUAGGGUGCAAGCGUUGUCCGGAAUUAUUGGGCGUAAAGAGCUCGUAGGCGGUUUGUCGCGUCUGCUGUGAAAUCCCGAGGCUCAACCUCGGGCUUGCAGUGGGUACGGGCAGACUAGAGUGCGGUAGGGGAGAUUGGAAUUCCUGGUGUAGCGGUGGAAUGCGCAGAUAUCAGGAGGAACACCGAUGGCGAAGGCAGAUCUCUGGGCCGUAACUGACGCUGAGGAGCGAAAGCGUGGGGAGCGAACAGGAUUAGAGACCCCAGUAGUCCCUGUCUCUUAUAC
RNAcentral lists this ribosomal RNA (302 nucleotides) under uncultured bacterium. RNAcentral describes it as "partial 16S ribosomal RNA". It matches the Rfam family "Bacterial small subunit ribosomal RNA", at positions 508 to 807 of the family's 1533-position model. The record is from RNAcentral.